This 30-nucleotide non-coding RNA is filed under the name Mus musculus (house mouse). The record is from RNAcentral. Lineage: Eukaryota; Metazoa; Chordata; Mammalia; Rodentia; Muridae.
UNGUCAAGUUGACAAGCAGGAAUAGCCACU